Molecule: long non-coding RNA, 3007 nt
Filed under: Capsicum annuum
Lineage: Eukaryota; Viridiplantae; Streptophyta; Magnoliopsida; Solanales; Solanaceae
Description: long non-coding RNA (CANN_LNC009344)
Source: RNAcentral
AUGAGCUCCGAGGGCUCAGAUGCAGCCGACUGGACGAGUUCUGUUAUAAAGCCUAACAAACUCAUGGGGCAGAGUAUUAUUGCAUAACUGGUAUAAUCCAAAUUCCCUCCUCUUCUGAAUCCUCUCGUCUCUCUUUCUAUCCUCUAACCUAGCUCUCUUCUCUUCUAUUCUACAGAUUACAAGCUCGUCCAUGGAGUCGAGUAGAUAGCUUUUCAUAUUUCAGUUUUCCUUUAGUUUCCAUAAGUUGUAAUCAUCAUUCAAUAUCAGUCAAUAUAAUAUCAGAAAAUUGUCCCAAAAAUAUUGCGAUUACUUCUUUUUAACUUUUGAGAAUUGAGAUCAUAACAAUUGGUAUCAGAGACAGGUUACUGUCUCGACUGUGGGUGGUAAUUCGAAGAAGAUAUUUGCGGAAUCUACUAUGGCUGAAUUGGUUGAAUGAAAUAAUGCAAAUAGAAGGGCCUUUAUGGAUGGAAUGUCAAGAAUAGUUGUGAAUGUUAAACAAUUGCAGAGGUGGUGUGAGGAUUGCAUAUGUAGUGUUGAUUGUCAGUGCAACUCUUGUGUAUACAGUUGCAUACGCAGUGUUGACUGCCAAUGCCACUUUUGUUUUGAUGAUUGUUCGAGGAAAAAGAAUGAAGGAGACAACCACACCGAGGUGGAUUUAGAUGAACUUGCAAUGGACAAACUGCUGAAGGUUGAAAAUGGCAGUAAGAUUGAUUCAAAAUACAAUGAGGACAAAGUGUUUGACGAAUGUCCUCAAAGGGUUAAAUCUGAAGUUCUACUUGAGCUUCACUCAAUCCAAAAUACAAACACCACGAAGAUCGAUAUCGUGAACUAACAUUUGGGCUCACAACCUUAUGUUCUUGCCGUUGAGGAUACAAUACCUAAAUUGAUGGGUCCCAACGAUUUGUUCGGUGCUUAUAAUUUCAUGACCCACCUUGAGUGUACACCUUGGUCAAUUUCAAUUGAGGUACUGAGUUUUCUAUUUAAAUACAUGGGUCAUAAGCUUGACAUGGAUCUUGGUGACAGACUAUUCAAUAUAAAAUGGGAGAGUGAUAUUACUAACAUGUUUUACUUGCAUAGAUCUUUGAUAAUAUCAAUCGGGUGUGGGAUACGGGAUGGCAGCUGUUUAUGCAUUUCCUUGUUGUGCAUAUUGGUUCUGUUUGUUCAUUUUCUGCCAUUCAAUAUAUAACUAUGAUUAUAGCGGUAUAGGAGGCCUAUCCUUACACGUAGCAACAUCAUCCAGAAAGGAGAUUAUGUUCUUUUGGGGCUUAAUUUUGCAAUUAACCUUGCUUGAUGACUCUAAAAAGUUAACAACAAUUGAUUUGUUUGAACACAAUUUGUCAGUUGAAAGGUAUACAAUCUGAAAAGCUUCUCAAAGAAGGGAUUCAGUCAUCGCUCGAAGCUUAUGUCAUUCUUGGUUAUUUGAUUUUAUCCUUCUUGUUGCAAUGUACUCGUGUGCUCAUAACUUCUGGCGUAGAUUUUAAGAUGGCAAAGGUACAUGGUUACAGACUACUCGAAGAGAAUUACUGGUGAAUUGGUCAACCAAAACUGAAGUUAAGUUAGGGACAUUCGAAACCGGGAAGGGAACUAAGGGCUCAAUACAAUGUGAAAGAAAGCCUUACUUUCUAAAAUUGGAAUACUUGUUAGCUUCUUGUCUUGCAGCAUUUUUGCCUUUGGAUGAUGACAUUGUACUUCUUCAGACAAGUUCUCAGGAUGCAUUGCUUAGUCGUGGCUUACACAAAAUGGAAUACAAUGGAAGUCAUUUGAGCAGGAUGUGGCUCUCGACUGACUUGGUAUUCCGAAAGAAAUGAAGGAUCCUCUAAAUAUUGUGUUUAAUAAUUUGUUUGUAGAUACUCGUGGAGCUACAAGGUUACAUCAUUCGAGUUAUGACUUGGAUUUAUCUUCUAAUAGAGAAGGAUGGGAGAACAUAAUGCUAACAAGUUUCUUAGCGCUUGAUACUUGGGUUGUGAUUGAACCAGAAGAUGGUAAUGAUCUGACAAGGGAUUUCCUUGCUGUAUUGGACAAAAAAUCUAUUAUUCUUUAUAUGGAAGGAGGUCAUGUUCGAUUUGUGAGUAAUAAUGGGUCCUUAAAGUUCCCAUAUGACCCUGGGGUUGGCUUGCCUUUGAGAGACUCUAAUUUCUUCUCUGGUAAUAAUUUUGAUCCUCCAAAAAUUUUUGCAUCUUCAUUGAGCUUUUAUAAAGUGCUCGAACAACCUACUUCAGAGGAUAGUCAUCUGCAGAAGGCAGCUCUCAGGUUACAUGUUACUGGCUAUACGGUCCCUCAAGAGAAGAUGAUACGCAUGAAGAAAGCUACUUAUGGUUCUCAAAUAGUAGUCAUAGAUGAUAGAAUUAUAGCCUUUUUACGUCUUCUCUAUGUGACUUCCGUGUCUAUUCUUGAGGAUUACAAGUUUCCAUUUGAUCCAGGAGGCAUUGGUAUUUCAUUUGGUGGUCCUUCACAUCAAUUCCCAUUGGAUCCUGGUUGUUUACUCUUCAGGAUAACACCCUUGAGAACUUGGUGUUCUUCAACAAGUGGGGCGUUCUAAAUUCCAGAUUUUUAGCUCAUCCUUGAAGGUAAGGAUUAUUUGAAAAGGAAGGGUAUGUAAUGACCCGAGAAAUGGCAAUAAAAUGAAUGCAACCACUCGAGUUCGAAACUAGAAAGACAAUGAGGGAAAUAACCAACGCUAAAAUCAACGGCCACGAUGAGAAUUCAAUUAAUGAGCUCCGAGGGCUUAGAUGCAGCCAGCUGGACGAGUUCUGUUAUAAAGCCUAACAAACUCAUGGGGCAGAGUAUUAUAGCAUAACUGGUAUAAUCCAAAUUUCCUCCUCUUCUGAAUCCUCUCGUCUCUCUUUCUAUCCUCUAACCUAGCUCUCUUCUCUUCUAUUCUACAGAUUACAAGCUCGUCCAUGGAGUCGAGUAGAUAGCUUUUCAUAUUUCAGUUAUCCUUUAGUUUCCAUUAGUUGUAAUCAUCAUUCAAUAUCAGUCAAUAUAAUAUUAGAAAAUUGUCCCAAAA